Molecule: long non-coding RNA, 440 nt
Organism: Oreochromis aureus
Lineage: Eukaryota; Metazoa; Chordata; Actinopteri; Cichliformes; Cichlidae
Exons: 5
Source: RefSeq, a predicted model, not a curated record
UGAUGGAAGAAGGCAUUGAUGUGUCAGACGACGAGGCGCAAAGGUUUAGAGAUAACGAUGUACAACAUUGAAGGUACAGUUGAAGGUCCAGUGUCCCAAGCAAACCAGAGUUCUAUACCUUCUUGCCUGCAGUUAUUUCCAUUCCAAAAUUCCCACAAGAUGUCCAGAGUCGCUUGGAUCUCAAAGAACCAGUCCAGAAAGAACAGAAGUACCGAAACAAAAUAAUUGGGACUCUUUAUGAAAUGCUGUCACAGUACACAAUGUACCCAACCCACUCAGACUACAUCCAGGUCAUCAAAGCCCUGAUUGUGAAGUAUCCUUUCUUAAGAGAUGUACACGGAAAUGGUUAUGACACCUGGCACAGCCAACUCAAGAGAAAGUUCAAAGCAGAACGGGCUCCCCUAAUCAGCAACGAAGAAGUGAACCGGGUUAAAGAAAAG